RNAcentral lists this ribosomal RNA (2028 nucleotides) under seawater metagenome. RNAcentral's name for it is "bacterial LSU rRNA". It matches the Rfam family "Bacterial large subunit ribosomal RNA", at positions 588 to 2652 of the family's 2925-position model. The record is from RNAcentral.
AUAGGGUGACCGUGUGCCUGUUGAAGAAUGAGCCGGCGACUUAUAGGCACUGGCGGGUUAAACCGGAAAUGGUGGAGCCAUAGCGAAAGCGAGUCUGAAUAGGGCGUUUGUCAGUGUUUAUAGACCCGAACCCGGGUGAUCUAACCAUGGCCAGGAUGAAGCUUGGGUGAUACCAAGUGGAGGUCCGAACCGACUGACGUUGAAAAGUCAGCGGAUGAGCUGUGGUUAGGGGUGAAAUGCCAAUCGAACCCGGAGCUAGCUGGUUCUCCCCGAAAUACGUUGAGGCGUAGCGUCUCGUGCUCCAGCAGGGGGGUAAAGCCACCAUUUCGGUGCGGGCUGCGAGAGCGGUACCAAAUCGAGAUGAACUCUGAAUACCCUGUGUGUAGCGAGGCAGUCAGACUGUGGGGGAUAAGCUCCAUGGUCGAGAGGGAAACAGCCCAGACCGCCAGCUAAGGUCCCCAAAUCAACACUAAGUGAUAAAGGAGGUGGGAUUGCCCAGACAACCAGGAGGUUUGCCUAGAAGCAGCCAUCCUCAAAGGAGUGCGUAAUAGCUCACUGGUCGAGCGAUCCUGCGCCGAAAAUGAAUGGGGCUAAGUGUUGUACCGAAGCUGCGGAUUUAUGGUAGGGGAGCGUUCUAUGUGGGGCGAAGCGUUAGCGUGAGCGGGCGUGGACUGCAUAGAAGUGAGAAUGUCGGCUUGAGUAGCGAAAACAUGGGUGAGAAUCCCAUGCACCGAAACCCUAAGGGUUCCUCCGGCAGGCUCGUCCGCGGAGGGUUAGUCUGGACCUAAGGCGAGGCCGAAAGGCGUAGUCGAUGGAUAACAGGUCAACAUUCCUGUACCGGUUAUGUUUUGGGAAGAGGGACGGAGAAGGCUAGCCAAGCCAGAUGUUGGUUACUGGUUCAAGCGUUCGAGGCGUUGAGGAUCGGCGAAAACGAUCCGAGCUGAGGCGUGAGUACGAGCUGCUACGGCAGCGAAGUUGGUGAUGUCAUGCUUCCAAGAAAAGCUCUAUACCCGUUAAGGCAUAACUGCCAGUACCCGAAACCGACACAGGUGGGGUGGUAGAGAAUACCGAGGUGCGCGAGGUAACUCUCUCUAAGGAACUCGGCAAAAUGGCCCCGUAACUUCGGGAGAAGGGGUGCCACAGCAAUGUGGUCGCAGUGAAGAGGCCCUGGCGACUGUUUACCAAAAACACAGGUCUCCGCUAAGUCGCAAGACGAUGUAUGGGGGCUGACGCCUGCCCAGUGCCGGAAGGUUAAGGAAGCCGGUCAGCGUAAGCGAAGCUGGCGACUGAAGCCCCGGUGAACGGCGGCCGUAACUAUAACGGUCCUAAGGUAGCGAAAUUCCUUGUCAGGUAAGUUCUGACCCGCACGAAUGGCGUAAUGACUUGGGCACUGUCUCAACAACAAAUCCGGCGAAAUUGAAUUGCGAGUGAAGAUGCUCGCUACCCGCGAUUGGACGGAAAGACCCCGUAGAGCUUUACUGUAGCUUAGCAUUGAGUUUCGAUAUUGUCUGUACAGGAUAGGUGGGAGACUGAGAAGUGAGGCCGUCAGGUUUCAUGGAGUCACCCUUGGGAUACCACCCUGACAGUAUUGGGAUUCUAACCGGGUACCAUGAAGCUGGUAACGGGACAUUGUUAGGUGGGCAGUUUGACUGGGGCGGUCGCCUCCUAAAAAGUAACGGAGGCGCCCAAAGGUUCCCUCAGUGCGGUUGGAAAUCGCGCGAAGAGUGCAAAGGCAGAAGGGAGCCUGACUGCGACACAGACAAGUGGAGCAGGGACGAAAGUCGGGCUUAGUGAUCCGGUGGUUCCUCGUGGGAGGGCCAUCGCUCAACGGAUAAAAGCUACCUCGGGGAUAACAGGCUGAUCUCCCCCAAGAGUCCACAUCGACGGGGAGGUUUGGCACCUCGAUGUCGGCUCGUCGCAUCCUGGGGCUGAAGUAGGUCCCAAGGGUUGGGCUGUUCGCCCAUUAAAGCGGCACGCGAGCUGGGUUCAGAACGUCGUGAGACAGUUCGGUCCCUAUCCGUCGCGGGC